AGCGGUUCUCGGGUGAUGUACCCCAGAAUUGGGCUCCCCCCUCUCUGGUUCCGGGUGUGUCACCCUAGAACAGCA
Myotis brandtii (Brandt's bat) is the source of this 75-nucleotide non-coding RNA. NCBI's taxonomy places the organism in Eukaryota, Metazoa, Chordata, Mammalia, Chiroptera, Vespertilionidae. The record is from Rfam.